Molecule: long non-coding RNA, 1526 nt
Filed under: Cicer arietinum (chickpea)
Lineage: Eukaryota; Viridiplantae; Streptophyta; Magnoliopsida; Fabales; Fabaceae
Description: long non-coding RNA (CARI_LNC002572)
Source: RNAcentral
UCUUCCUCUUCCCUCUUUUUCAUCUAUUCUGUUUUCAUAUUGAUUAACUAUACCAAUUAUUAAUUUAUUUCAUUUUUUCGAAGGAAACAAUUAAUCGAUAGUUUACAUUUUAUGAUUAUAAUAUUUCAUUUAUAUGAAUUCUUACUCUGUUCAUGCUUAUUGAUCAAUUUCACUUUCUCAUAGUUCAUGUGUUUAUUUAAUAAUAUUUCUUAUAUAUGCUUAUAUCAGGGUUUAAUAUUUUAAUCAUAUGUUAACGAUUAUUUAGUCCGUAAUGGAAACAAAUAGUUUCGUUUUUGCAUGCAAAAUAUAACCUAGUAGUUUGGUAGCAUCUUGAACAAGAGGAAUGACUAUGGUUUGGAUAGGAAAAUGAAAAUGCCUAAUUUGUGUUUCUUUGUUUCCCUCUUUCAAUAUGUGAUUUUGUAUUUUUGUGUAUUACUCUAUUAAAAAUUGAACAAUUUCUGAUUUUGGUUCUGGUUUCUUAGGUUUUGACCUGAAAAAUGGGAGGUGGUAAAGACAAUCAUGAUGAAUCUGACAAAGGAAUUUUCUCACAUUUAGCACAUGGGAUGACUCAUGGUGCUCAUGGUUACCCACCUGGGGCUUACCCUCCACCACCAGGUGCAUACCCUCCACCUGGACAUGGCUACCCUCCACAAGGGGGUUAUCCUCCAGCUGGUUAUCCCCCUGCUGGUUAUCCUCCUGCUGGCUACUCUCAUGGUGGCUAUCCUCCGGCAGGUUAUCCACCUGCUGGUUAUCAUGGUCCAUCUGCUCCUCAUGCUCCAGGUAUGAUUCCCUUCGUUCUUUAUUUUUCAAUAUUAGUUAUUUAAUUAUCUGAUUGUUACAAAGACUUGAUAUUAUUGUUAUGAAAUUUGUGAAGUUACUUCCGGCUCUUGAGUUGGCUCAAAUUUGUUGAGUUAUUGGUGUUUUUCAAACCAUGUAUGAUUAAUAUUGCAAUUUGCAAAUGUGGGAUUGUUUAGCUAAAAAAUCAAUGGCAAAAUAACUAAUUCUAAGGUCACUAGUUAAAGAACAAUUUUCUUUUAAAAUGUAUAGCAGUUAAUUUCACUAAUGCAUUAAAUAUUGUAUUUCAAUACAAAGUUUGUAUAUAUUUUUUUAUUUCUUAGGAUAAACCUAAAAACAAUUCAUAAGGGAGACUUCCUUUGACUGUUUUAAAUGGUAGCUUGAUUUGUGAAUGUAUCAUCACUGUGUUUUUGGUCCUCAGCCAUUAACAUUCUCAGUGUUGUUUUUAUGUAUAUUAAUUUUGGCUGCUGUCUACUAUAUUUGAAACUUUCGUUGACUAUAUUAAUUUUGUGAGUGCAUUCACAACCAAAACUUUAUUUGACUGUUGUAACUGGUAGUUUGAUUUCUGAGUGUAUUGUCACCACAUUUUCAAUUUAUAUAUGAAACUUGUUAUGUUGUUUAUUCAAACCUAUUCAACCGAUGCUUUGCCUAUUUGAUAGUUUUUCUUAUCUGCUGUCUAUAACCAAAGUAAUAUGCUUGAAGGCAACUAACUUCUCUGCAUUGCAUCAGGG